CAUGUUGCAUCAUGUUUCUGCUUCAUUAUGUAUACGGUUUUGUGCGAGUUAUCAGAAUAAUUCUUUUUCUCUGAGCUUUGUAUUGAAAUACUAAAAAUUAAAUCGAUUAACGUGUAUUCAUUGACUUUGUAAUUAAUAAUAAAUACUUGUGGCCUGUAAUAAUCAUUGUUAGCAUAAAUAUUUGCUGGUGUUUUGGCCGUGGAGUAUCUUUUGUAUUGAUACGUGUACGUUAUAAUUGAUUCAGAAUAUCAAAUAAUGUAUGAUUAAUUAUGACGAAAGUGAAAUGUCUAAUUCUUGUUUUUCAAUACUUACUCUAAUUAGAAAACCAACUGCAAGAAUCAUGCCUGGUUGUGCUGCAAUCCACUGUACAAAUUCCUCUGUGAAAGGUUUUUUGAUGAAACGGUUUCCAAGGGAUCCCAUACGAAGGAAGCAAUGGCGUAUUAAAUGUAGGAGGGAUAAUUGGACCCCGUCAAAUAAUUCAUAUUUAUGUGAGGUACCUAUAUGUUUACCAGUAGAUGUAUAGGUACAGAAAAUGUUGUUCUCAAUGAUUCAGUUGAAUUUGUGUAAUUGGUAAUUCUUUAUACAAGGCAGGCUCCUGUAAUUGUACAUUUUUCCAACAAGUCAGUGGGCCAAGAGCCAAUAGGGAUGCUGCAAAGUGAGUUUCGUCCAUAAAUUUGACACAAAAAUGGUCCAAUUUGAAAAAAAUUGGGUUCUUUGUUUAGGCCCAUUUUGCUCCUGAUAUGUGGGAGAAAACUCGGGAAGAUGGAACUCGCAAACUAAAAUCUGAUGCCACGCCCACUUUGUUUUCCUUCUCAAAACAAAAGCAAUCAAGAAAGCCCCCCACUCAAAGGUUCUUACAACCAAAGAAUUUAAGAAUGCCUCCCAUCCAUAGGAAAUUGACGAAAACUGAAUCUUCAUCAUCACAUGGGGUUACUGAAACCGCAACAGAAGCACCUAAACCACUUAAUGCAGAUAUACCAAAAUCAUCUACAUCAACUGCAGAUUUGUCCGAGGAAUUUCUCAUCAAUAAAAUAGAUUCAUCUCAAUGAUUAUAUGAAAUUGUACAACAGGGAAAAGGCGAAGGCAGAAAGUAUUGAAGACUUGCGAAAUUGGAGAAACAAGCUGAAGAACAUGGAAAAACAAGCCACUUCUCCUCAAUUUAUUGAGUUUAAUCUCAUGAAGUGGUCAAAUGGGACGGUCACACAAUGCUUGACACUCGAGUUUUCUUAUGGAAACAAUGGGUAUCAUAAGUUGAUGAAGAAACUCUCCAGCGAAAACUUCUACACAUCAAAUUUGAUUCUGGUAUCCUCCAUGAAGUUUUUCAAUUUAUAGAAAUAAAAUUCCAACUUUUCAAGUCA
Photinus pyralis (common eastern firefly) is the source of this 1358-nucleotide RNA transcript. It is a transcript of the gene named THAP domain-containing protein 2-like, with no coding region annotated. The record is from RefSeq and is a predicted model, not a curated record. NCBI's taxonomy places the organism in Eukaryota, Metazoa, Arthropoda, Insecta, Coleoptera, Lampyridae. The transcript is spliced from 4 exons.